Molecule: ribosomal RNA, 253 nt
Filed under: uncultured bacterium
Lineage: Bacteria
Description: partial 16S ribosomal RNA
Rfam family: Bacterial small subunit ribosomal RNA
Source: RNAcentral
UACGUAGGUGGCAAGCGUUGUCCGGAAUUAUUGGGCGUAAAGCGCGCGCAGGUGGUUUCUUAAGUCUGAUGUGAAAGCCCACGGCUCAACCGUGGAGGGUCAUUGGAAACUGGGGAACUUGAGUGCAGGAGAGAAGAGUGGAAUUCCACGUGUAGCGGUGAAAUGCGUAGAGACGUGGAGGAACACCAGUGGCGAAGGCGACUCUUUGGCCUGUAACUGACACUGAGGCGCGAAAGCGUGGGGAGCAAACAGG